This 497-nucleotide ribosomal RNA is filed under the name uncultured bacterium. Its description in RNAcentral is "partial 16S ribosomal RNA". It matches the Rfam family "Bacterial small subunit ribosomal RNA", at positions 28 to 507 of the family's 1533-position model. The record is from RNAcentral.
GAUGAACGCUGGCGGCGUGCCUAAUACAUGCAAGUCGAGCGAACAGACGAGGAGCUUGCUCCUCUGACGUUAGCGGCGGACGGGUGAGUAACACGUGGAUAACCUACCUAUAAGACUGGGAUAACUUCGGGAAACCGGAGCUAAUACCGGAUAAUAUAUUGAACCGCAUGGUUCAAUAGUGAAAGACGGUUUUGCUGUCACUUAUAGAUGGAUCCGCGCCGCAUUAGCUAGUUGGUGAGGUAACGGCUUACCAAGGCAACGAUGCGUAGCCGACCUGAGAGGGUGAUCGGCCACACUGGAACUGAGACACGGUCCAGACUCCUACGGGAGGCAGCAGUAGGGAAUCUUCCGCAAUGGGCGAAAGCCUGACGGAGCAACGCCGCGUGAAUGAUGAAGGUCUUCGGAUCGUAAAACUCUGUUAUUAGGGAAGAACAAAUGUGUAAGUAACUAUGCACGUCUUGACGGUACCUAAUCAGAAAGCCACGGCUAACUACGUG